UGGGGAAUAUUGGACAAUGGGCGAAAGCCUGAUCCAGCCAUGCCGCGUGUGUGAAGAAGGUCUUCGGAUUGUAAAGCACUUUAAGUUGGGAGGAAGGGCAGUAAGCGAAUACCUUGCUGUUUUGACGUUACCGACAGAAUAAGCACCGGCUAACUCUGUGCCAGCAGCCGCGGUAAUACAGAGGGUGCAAGCGUUAAUCGGAAUUACUGGGCGUAAAGCGCGCGUAGGUGGUUCGUUAAGUUGAAUGUGAAAGCCCCGGGCUCAACCUGGGAAACGGCUUCAAAACCGGACGGGUAGAGUAGGGCCGAGGGUGGUGGAAUUUUCUGUGUAGCGGUGAAAUGCGUAGAUAUAGGAAGGAACACCAGUGGCGAAGGCGACCACCUGGGCUCAUACUGACACUGAGGUGCGAAAGCGUGGGGAGCAAACAGG
RNAcentral lists this ribosomal RNA (429 nucleotides) under Pseudomonadota bacterium. RNAcentral describes it as "Proteobacteria bacterium partial 16S ribosomal RNA". It matches the Rfam family "Bacterial small subunit ribosomal RNA", at positions 355 to 776 of the family's 1533-position model. The record is from RNAcentral. Lineage: Bacteria; Pseudomonadati; Pseudomonadota.